Molecule: ribosomal RNA, 355 nt
Filed under: uncultured Pseudomonas sp.
Lineage: Bacteria; Pseudomonadati; Pseudomonadota; Gammaproteobacteria; Pseudomonadales; Pseudomonadaceae
Description: bacterial SSU rRNA
Rfam family: Bacterial small subunit ribosomal RNA
Source: RNAcentral
AACGUCUGACACAGGUGCUGCAUGGCUGUCGUCAGCUCGUGCGUGAGAUGUUGGUUAAGUCCGUACGAGCGCAACCCUUGUCCUUAGUUACCAGCACGUUAUGGUGGGCACUCUAAGGAGACUGCCGGUGACAAACCGGAGGAAGGUGGGGAUGACGUCAAGUCAUCAUGGCCCUUACGGCCUGGGCUACACACGUGCUACAAUGGUCGGUACAAAGGGUUGCCAAGCCGCGAGGUGGAGCUAAUCCCAUAAAACCGAUCGUAGUCCGGAUCGCAGUCUGCAACUCGACUGCGUGAAGUCGGAAUCGCUAGUAAUCGUGAAUCAGAAUGUCACGGUGAAUACGUUCCCGGGCCUU